UACGUAGGGGGCAAGCGUUGUCCGGAUUUACUGGGCGUAAAGGGCGCGUAGGCGGCCAACUAAGUCAGACGUGAAAUCCCUCGGCUCAACCGGGGAACUGCGUCUGAUACUGGAUGGCUUGAAUUCGGGAGAGGGAUGCGGAAUUCCAGGUGUAGCGGUGAAAUGCGUAGAUAUCUGGAGGAACACCGGUGGCGAAGGCGGCAUCCUGGACCGAGAUUGACGCUGAUGCGCGAAAGCCAGGGGAGCAAACGGG
RNAcentral lists this ribosomal RNA (253 nucleotides) under uncultured bacterium. RNAcentral describes it as "partial 16S ribosomal RNA". It matches the Rfam family "Bacterial small subunit ribosomal RNA", at positions 524 to 776 of the family's 1533-position model. The record is from RNAcentral.